RNAcentral lists this transfer RNA (69 nucleotides) under Uroteuthis duvaucelii. RNAcentral describes it as "tRNA-Arg". Lineage: Eukaryota; Metazoa; Mollusca; Cephalopoda; Myopsida; Loliginidae. The record is from RNAcentral.
UAUAACAAGAAAUGAUUUAUCAUAUAUGAUUUCGGCUCAUACUUUAGGUGUAUAUUACACCCUUGUUUA